RNAcentral lists this non-coding RNA (59 nucleotides) under unclassified sequences. The record is from RNAcentral.
CGCAGAGCAGCAGGCCUACUCUUAGGCCUGUUAAUGCGGCACAGCGGUUGCAAGCCCGU